This 26-nucleotide non-coding RNA is filed under the name Mus musculus (house mouse). The record is from RNAcentral. Lineage: Eukaryota; Metazoa; Chordata; Mammalia; Rodentia; Muridae.
UGCUUAAUUGGCCUCUGCCUCCAAAG